ACAAUGCCUCAUUGUGCUGAUGCUGCUGGUAUCAAACUCUGCAGAAAUGGUGAUCCCAAUCUACAGCAGUUCCACUGUGUACAGAGACUGUCAUAUCUGGUUGAUUUUGUGAAGUUUAUGAAGAGAAAUGAAUUGUGCUUUCUAAAAUAUCCUUUCUACAUCAAAAAAUGAACACGCUGUAUGCUCAUUAUGAUGAUUCAAUGCUAACCCUUGCAAUUCAACAUGGAUCUUAACUCCAAACCACCAUAGAAGCCAGAAGGGGACCUGACCAUCUGAGCCUUCAGGAAUACAUCCUCCAUGGAUCUCAAUCUAUAUUCCCAAAGAGAGAAACAA
Non-coding RNA from Cricetulus griseus (Chinese hamster), 333 nucleotides. Lineage: Eukaryota; Metazoa; Chordata; Mammalia; Rodentia; Cricetidae. The record is from RefSeq and is a predicted model, not a curated record.